GAGUAUCAGCAUCCUUGGCAAAGGCAGCGAUACCAGUGGACAACUUGACUACAGCCAUUUCGUCGUUGUUAAAGUCGAAACGGAACUUGGGCUCAUCAGUAAGGUAGGAAACCUUCUCCAAAUUGAGGCUGGAAGCCUUGGAGGCAUCAAGCUUCUUGGGGACAGCGUCGGUGCUGUUGUUGAGCUGCUCAAGAAGGGCGGGGGAGAUGGUCAAAAAGUCAACACCAGCGAGUUCCUUGAUCUCACCGACGUUACGGAAAGAAGCACCCAUGACAAUGGUCUUGUAACCGAAUUUUUUGUAGUAGUUGAAGAUGUUAGAGACACUGACGACACCGGGGUCUUCUUGAGCGGUAUAGUCACGGUUAUUCUUAGCCUUGUAGAAAUCGAGAAUACGACCGACGAAAGGAGAAAUCAAGGUAACGUUAGCCUCGGCGCAAGCAACAGCUUGGACAAAAGAGAACAAGAGAGUCAAGUUGCAGUGGAUGCCCUCUUCCUCG
This is a non-coding RNA of Schizosaccharomyces pombe (fission yeast), 497 nucleotides long. The record is from the annotation of a GenBank genome assembly. Lineage: Eukaryota; Fungi; Ascomycota; Schizosaccharomycetes; Schizosaccharomycetales; Schizosaccharomycetaceae.